CAGCAGCCGCGGUAAUACGGAGGGAGCUAGCGUUGUUCGGAAUUACUGGGCAUAAAGCGCACGUAGGCGGCUUUGUAAGUCAGAGGUGAAAGCCUGGAGCUCAACUCCAGAACUGCCUUUGAGACUGCAUCGCUUGAAUCCAGGAGAGGUGAGUGGAAUUCCGAGUGUAGAGGUGAAAUUCGUAGAUAUUCGGAAGAACACCAGUGGCGAAGGCGGCUCACUGGACUGGUAUUGACGCUGAGGUGCGAAAGCGUGGGGAGCAAACAGGAUUAGAUACCCGCGUAGUCCCUGUCUCUUAUAC
RNAcentral lists this ribosomal RNA (301 nucleotides) under uncultured bacterium. RNAcentral describes it as "partial 16S ribosomal RNA". It matches the Rfam family "Bacterial small subunit ribosomal RNA", at positions 509 to 807 of the family's 1533-position model. The record is from RNAcentral.